CACUCUUACACAACCCCAAGCACCCUGACGGACCUCCUGCACCCGCCCCAGCUCGCUUGGACCAUGUCACCGAACCUCACUUUUUUCCACUUUUCCCGACUUAGAAUUUUUUGAGGCUCCUCCUGUCCUCCAAGGACCCAACCAUACCAAGUCCAAAUAAGAUCCCAACGUGCUCCUACACUUCGUUUCCACUCCAGCCUUCACGU
This 206-nucleotide non-coding RNA is filed under the name Ctenophora environmental sample. Lineage: Eukaryota; Metazoa; Ctenophora. The record is from RNAcentral.